CCUACGGGAGGCAGCAGUGAGGAAUAUUGGUCAAUGGGCUUACGCCUGAACCAGCCAAGUCGCGUGAGGGAAGACUGCCCUAUGGGUUGUAAACCUCUUUUGUCAGGGAGCAACGUCCGCUACGUGUAGCGCGAUUGAGAGUACCUGAAGAAAAAGCAUCGGCUAACUCCGUGCCAGCAGCCGCGGUAAUACGGAGGAUGCGAGCGUUAUCCGGAUUUAUUGGGUUUAAAGGGUGCGUAGGCGGAAUGCCAAGUCAGCGGUAAAAUCGCGGGGCUCAACCUCGCUCCGCCGUUGAAACUGGCGGUCUUGAGUGGGCGAGAAGUAGGCGGAAUGCGUGGUGUAGCGGUGAAAUGCAUAGAUAUCACGCAGAACUCCGAUUGCGAAGGCAGCAUACCGGCGCCCAACUGACGCUGAAGCACGAAAGCGUGGGUAUCGAACAGGAUUAGAUACCUUGGUAGUC
This 460-nucleotide ribosomal RNA is filed under the name uncultured bacterium. RNAcentral describes it as "partial 16S ribosomal RNA". It matches the Rfam family "Bacterial small subunit ribosomal RNA", at positions 338 to 795 of the family's 1533-position model. The record is from RNAcentral.